UACGUAGGGUGCAAGCGUUAAUCGGAAUUACUGGGCGUAAAGCGUGCGCAGGCGGUUUUAUAAGUCAGCUGUGAAAUCCCCGGGCUUAACCUGGGAAUUGCAGUUGAGACUGUAAGGCUAGAGUGUGUCAGAGGGGGGUAGAAUUCCACGUGUAGCAGUGAAAUGCGUAGAGAUGUGGAGGAACACCGAUGGCGAAGGCAGCCCCCUGGGAUAACACUGACGCUCAUGCACGAAAGCGUGGGGAGCAAACAGG
Molecule: ribosomal RNA, 253 nt
Filed under: uncultured bacterium
Lineage: Bacteria
Description: partial 16S ribosomal RNA
Rfam family: Bacterial small subunit ribosomal RNA
Source: RNAcentral